GCAUUAAUGGGGUAGUGGUAACCUGGGUCGUUGCCAUGUAGAGAGACUGUACUGUUUCGACCCGCCGGGGGUUCGAUUCCCCCUUAAUGCA
Schizophyllum commune H4-8 is the source of this 91-nucleotide non-coding RNA. NCBI's taxonomy places the organism in Eukaryota, Fungi, Basidiomycota, Agaricomycetes, Agaricales, Schizophyllaceae. The record is from the annotation of a RefSeq genome assembly.